UGUGGGAGCGAGCUUGCUCGCGAUGGCGGAGUGUCAGGCACUGAGGUGUUGAAUGUGCCGGCCUCAUCGCGAGCAAGCUCGCUCCCACA
This 89-nucleotide unclassified non-coding RNA is filed under the name Pseudomonas sp. NFACC15-1. Lineage: Bacteria; Pseudomonadati; Pseudomonadota; Gammaproteobacteria; Pseudomonadales; Pseudomonadaceae. The record is from RNAcentral. RNAcentral also lists the same sequence under 1 other name.